UUAAAACACAUAAAUGAUUGAAUUCCACAUCACACACCAGAAAAGGUAAACAAAGCAUUGAAUUCUUUUUGGAUUUCAACACCUGUAUCUUCAAUCUCAAAUGUAAAAAUCACAUUAUACAAUAUACAAUCACAAUAAUUUUUUUUUGAAAACAUAUACAAUCACAAUAAUAAUGAUUGUACUAACGGUUAUUUUCUCCGGUUUGCAAUUCAUCCGGUUCAUGUUUCUGAGAAGAACUGCUUCUCCAAAAACCGUUUACGCUGAACCGGGCCCAUAAAUCCUCCUCCGGCAAUUCCUCCUGG
This 302-nucleotide long non-coding RNA is filed under the name Medicago truncatula (barrel medic). RNAcentral describes it as "long non-coding RNA (MTRU_LNC008812)". Lineage: Eukaryota; Viridiplantae; Streptophyta; Magnoliopsida; Fabales; Fabaceae. The record is from RNAcentral.